UCACUUACCUGGUUGGAGUGAGUCAUAGAUCAAGCAGUAUGAUCACUUAGGGUGGAGCAGGUCCUUUGAACACUGAUGUCUGUAAAGCCCUACAGCUUCCCGCUUGGGAUAGCUGACUACUAAAUUUCUGGCAGUGGGGACGUGCGCUCGUCGCCUCCCCG
Blepharisma stoltei is the source of this 161-nucleotide non-coding RNA. The record is from the annotation of a GenBank genome assembly. NCBI's taxonomy places the organism in Eukaryota, Ciliophora, Heterotrichea, Heterotrichida, Blepharismidae.